UUCAGUGAAUCAUCGAAUCUUUGAACGCAUCUUGCGCUCCUUGGUAUUCCGAGGAGCAUGCCUGUUUGAGUGUCGUGAUUAAAUCAUCUGCCCCCCCGCAGGCCCUUCACUGUGUCAUGGGUGUGGGUGGGACUUGGACGCUGCCUUCUUACUAUGAAGGGCUCGUCUUGAAAUGCAUCAGCUGUUUCCUCGUACGCAGACAACGGUGUGAUAAAGAAAACUCNCUAGCGUCUGUGUCACAUGGGGAUGGCUUCCAGUCCGUCUGUCUUCGGACUACCAAAGACAACACCCCCCCUAGAGUAUGACCUCAAAUCAGGCAGGACUACCCGCUGAACUUAA
This 339-nucleotide ribosomal RNA is filed under the name Hysterangium sp. 1 RG-2012. Its description in RNAcentral is "eukaryotic LSU rRNA". The stretch from base 1 to 75 matches the Rfam family "5.8S ribosomal RNA", at positions 80 to 154 of the family's 154-position model. Lineage: Eukaryota; Fungi; Basidiomycota; Agaricomycetes; Hysterangiales; Hysterangiaceae. The record is from RNAcentral.